ACGCACGCUGGCGGCGUGCUUCACCCAUGCCAGUCGCACGGAAAGGCCCUGCUUUUGUGGGGUGCUCGAGUGGCGAACGGGUGAGUAACACGUGAGUAACCUGCCCUUGACUUUGGGAUAACUUCAGGAAACUGGGGCUAAUACCGGAUAGGAGCUCCUGCUGCAUGGUGGGGGUUGGAAAGUUUCGGCGGUUGGGGAUGGACUCGCGGCUUAUCAGCUUGUUGGUGGGGUAGUGGCUUACCAAGGCUUUGGCGGGUAGCCGGCCUGAGAGGGUGACCGGCCACAUUGGGACUGAGAUACGGCCCAGACUCCUACGGGAGGCAGCAGUGGGGAAUAUUGCACAAUGGGCGGAAGCCUGAUGCAGCAACGCCGCGUGCGGGAUGACGGCCUUCGGGUUGUAAACCGCUUUCGCCUGUGACGAAGCGUGAGUGACGGUAAUGGGUAAAGAAGCACCGGCUAACUACGUG
This 467-nucleotide ribosomal RNA is filed under the name uncultured bacterium. RNAcentral describes it as "partial 16S ribosomal RNA". It matches the Rfam family "Bacterial small subunit ribosomal RNA", at positions 29 to 507 of the family's 1533-position model. The record is from RNAcentral.